This 253-nucleotide ribosomal RNA is filed under the name uncultured bacterium. RNAcentral's name for it is "partial 16S ribosomal RNA". It matches the Rfam family "Bacterial small subunit ribosomal RNA", at positions 524 to 776 of the family's 1533-position model. The record is from RNAcentral.
UACGGGGGGGGCAAGCGUUGUUCGGAAUUACUGGGCGUAAAGGGCUCGUAGGCGGUCUGUCGCGUCGGGAGUGAAAACUUACAGCUCAACUGUGAGCGUGCUUCCGAUACGGGCAGACUUGAGGUAUUCAGGGGAGAACGGAAUUCCUGGUGUAGCGGUGAAAUGCGCAGAUAUCAGGAGGAACACCGGUGGCGAAGGCGGUUCUCUGGGAAUAUCCUGACGCUGAGGAGCGAAAGUGUGGGGAGCGAACAGG